AAGAUCCAGUUUUGGACAUGAGACUCGUUGGGUGAUCAUUUUAUUGGGAUUAACUUGAACCAUCUAUGUAAACUACAGAGGAAUCGCUAUGACUGAGGGAACUCAAGUAUUUUUAUUGCCGAUCUCUACUUCAGAUUCUACAAAAGAACCACUGUCCACAGUGACUUCUCAAGCCCAGGAUUCUAGCCUUUCAGCAAACAGACCCGUGACUGAAAAACAGGCUCUCACCCCUACCCGCUUUUGAGAUAGGAUCUGACUAUGUAGUCCGUGCUGGCUUUCAACUCAGUGAGCUCUGCCUGCUUCUUGCCUCCUGAGUGCUGGUAUCAAAGGUAUAUGCCACCACACACAGCAGUUGCAGGAGGAAGCAGAAUGGGAAAGCAUCAGUAGGCUGUUGGUGACGCGUGGCUUUAAACCUUUGUGCCUAGUCAAAGGAGCCAAUCUCAGAGAUUUCAUCGUUUUUGACAAACAAUCAUCACAAAGAAUGAGGCAGGCUUUCAAAACACUGAUGGAAGAAACCACACGUCAGCAGAGCAUGCUACAGGAGCUCAUAGAGACAAACCAUCAGCUUAAAAGUGAACUUCAGCUAGAACAGAACCGAGCGGCACACCAGGAACAGCGAGCCAAUGACCUUCAGCAGAUCAUGGACAGUGUGAAAUCCAAAAUUGGUGAAUUAGAAGAUGAAUCGCUAAACAGGGUUUGCCAGGAACAAAAUAGAAUAAAAGACCUUCAAAAGGAAUAUAAAACGUUAC
RNAcentral lists this long non-coding RNA (749 nucleotides) under Rattus norvegicus (Norway rat). Its description in RNAcentral is "long non-coding RNA NONRATT027969". The record is from RNAcentral. Lineage: Eukaryota; Metazoa; Chordata; Mammalia; Rodentia; Muridae.